UAAAUUCAGUUAGCAUCGUCUCUAAAUUAGUGAACAUUUACUGUAUAUACUUAUUAAGAAUUAAAAGAAAAUAAUCUCUAUGCUCCAGCUCACCAUGACUAAGUAUUAAAAGUGGUGGUGUUUUCUAAAAUCUAGAUUUCUUAAAUCAGCUCUCCAUGCCAACAUUUUCCAUCUGGACCUUGCUCUACCCUUUCUAACCUGCAGUGUUGUUUAACACACAGUGACCACGUGGCCUCAUCAUUUUUAAUGGCGAUUUGACAGAUUUCUUUCUAGUUGACUUUCAACGGCCACAUCACUCAUCUUGCUGUUCGGAGGCCGUCAGAAAGAAGUAAAGACUGGAAGAUAACGUGACUGCUGGGUAGUGACAGGGCCUGUCUCCUGACCGCGGCUCAGCGUACCUUCCACAGGAAAAACCUACACGACCGUGUGCUGCCCAUGCCCAGGUGAACUCUGCCCAGUAGAGGGACCGUCCUUCCUCCAUGUGGUAAAAACUCUAAAUGUUUCCAGUAAGGAUGUAAAUGAGAAAGGACGCUACAUUCUUUUCUGGAUGUUGGAAUAAAUAGUAAAGAAGAAGCCA
This is a long non-coding RNA of Herpailurus yagouaroundi (jaguarundi), 577 nucleotides long. RefSeq lists it as uncharacterized. The record is from RefSeq and is a predicted model, not a curated record. The transcript is spliced from 3 exons. Lineage: Eukaryota; Metazoa; Chordata; Mammalia; Carnivora; Felidae.